UGGAGUUUGAAGAAUGUGAAGUUUGGUAUUUAAGGGAAGAAAAAUAUAGGUGCAUAGUAUUGGAUAUUAAUGAGUGCAAAAAAGUGAAAGCGUGGGGAAUUCGUGGAUAAUUUGCUACUAUAUGGUUUUACUAAAGUUUAUAAUAUUUUUGCACACGUAUUAUAUACUAUAUAAAACUAGCUAGCUUUAGCUGUUGUCUACUAUUAUAUGUCUAAAUCCAUUUACAUGCUGUAACCAGUUACAAUUCUCUUAUACAUUAAUUUUAAAUAAAGGCGAAGUCAAGUGGGAG
Molecule: long non-coding RNA, 289 nt
Filed under: Solanum tuberosum (potato)
Lineage: Eukaryota; Viridiplantae; Streptophyta; Magnoliopsida; Solanales; Solanaceae
Description: long non-coding RNA (STUB_LNC008590)
Source: RNAcentral